UACCAGCUCUUCGAGUGGUGUGGAUGUUUAUUGGGCCUAAAGCAUCCGUAGCUGGCUGGGCAAGUCCCCUGUUAAAUCCACCGAUUUAAUCGUUGGAGUGCGGGGGAUACUGUUCGGCUAGGGGACGGGAGAGGCAGACGGUAUUUUCGGGGUAGGGGUGAAAUCCUAUAAUCCCGGGAAGACCACCAGUGGCGAAGGCUGUCUGCUAGAACGCGCCCGACGGUGAGGGAUGAAAGCUGGGGGAGCGAACCGGAUUAGAUACCCGGGUAGUCCCAGCUGUAAACGAUGCAGGCUAGGUGUUUGGGCGGCCACGUGCCGCUCUAGUGCCGCAGGGAAGCCGUUAAGCCUGCCGCCUGGGGAGUACGGCCGCAAGGCUGAAACUUAAAGGAAUUGGCGGGGGAGCGACCACAAGGGGUGAAGCUUGCGGUUU
This 430-nucleotide ribosomal RNA is filed under the name uncultured archaeon. Its description in RNAcentral is "bacterial SSU rRNA". It matches the Rfam family "Archaeal small subunit ribosomal RNA", at positions 474 to 903 of the family's 1478-position model. The record is from RNAcentral.